Long non-coding RNA from Polypterus senegalus (gray bichir), 453 nucleotides. RefSeq lists it as uncharacterized. The record is from RefSeq and is a predicted model, not a curated record. The transcript is spliced from 3 exons. NCBI's taxonomy places the organism in Eukaryota, Metazoa, Chordata, Cladistia, Polypteriformes, Polypteridae.
GCUGCGUGUCGACCCGUGACUAAAGAAAACGUCUCCUCCAGCAUUUCGGCCACUCAAUUUCUAGAACAUUUUCGCUGUGCGUCUCCUGCAGUGAUGAGUUUGCGGAGCUGUGAGAAAGUGAGAGUGAGAACGGGAGAGUUUGAAGAUUGGUUUAUUCUGAGGAAAGCCAGAAUGGCCUCCUCAGGAGGGGUCCGUUUUCGGACCGGUGAUUUUAAAAAACUUACCCGACAACACUGAGUGAAGCUAUGCCAGAAGCGACCUGUUCUGUAGAAGAAGCUGUUUGAAAUGUGAUAGGCUGCUGUGUCGAUGUUCGUUCAGCCACAAGAAUGAGCAGUGCGCUGGUUGGGUUUGUUGCUACAACAGAUUCUGUCCAUAGAUUCACUGUAAAAAGUAAUGCGUUAAAAUUACUUAAAAAAAAAAUAAGGCAAGAAAUUACAAACAAUAUUUUUGUGU